This 69-nucleotide transfer RNA is filed under the name Boana polytaenia (Cope's eastern Paraguay treefrog). RNAcentral's name for it is "tRNA-Val". It matches the Rfam family "tRNA". Rfam says of the family: Transfer RNA (tRNA) molecules are approximately 80 nucleotides in length. Their secondary structure includes four short double-helical elements and three loops (D, anti-codon, and T loops). The record is from RNAcentral. Lineage: Eukaryota; Metazoa; Chordata; Amphibia; Anura; Hylidae. RNAcentral also lists the same sequence under 1 other name.
CAAACUGUAGCUUAAAUAAAGCAUCUUGCUUACACCAAGAAAAUGCCUGAUAAACCCAGACCACUUUGA